This 440-nucleotide ribosomal RNA is filed under the name uncultured bacterium. Its description in RNAcentral is "partial 16S ribosomal RNA". It matches the Rfam family "Bacterial small subunit ribosomal RNA", at positions 338 to 795 of the family's 1533-position model. The record is from RNAcentral.
CCUACGGGUGGCAGCAGUGGGGGAUAUUGCACAAUGGGGGGAACCCUGAUGCAGCGACGCCGCGUGGGUGAAGAAGCGCCUCGGCGCGUAAAGCCCUGUCAGCAGGGAAGAAAAUGACGGUACCUGAAGAAGAAGCCCCGGCUAACUACGUGCCAGCAGCCGCGGUAAAACGCAGGGGGCAAGCGUUAUCCGGAUUUACUGGGUGUAAAGGGGGCGCAGGCGGGGAUGCAAGUCAGGAGUGAAAGCCCGGGGGCCAACCCCGGGACUGCCGUUGGAACUGGGUGGCUGGAGUGCAGGAGGGGUAGGCGGAAUGCCUGGUGUAGCGGUGAAAUGCGUAGAUAUCAGGAGGAACACCGGUGGCGAAGGCAGCCUACUGGCCUGCAACUGACGUUGAGGCCCGAAAGCGUGGGGAGCAAACAGGAUUAGAUACCCCGGUAGUC